GGAGCGUUGGCAGAGUGGUAAUGCAGCGGAUUGCUAAUCCGUGACCGUGACAUUAGCGGUCCAUAGGUUCGAGUCCUAUACGCUCCGCCA
RNAcentral lists this transfer RNA (90 nucleotides) under Alphaproteobacteria bacterium. RNAcentral describes it as "tRNA-Ser". It matches the Rfam family "tRNA". Rfam says of the family: Transfer RNA (tRNA) molecules are approximately 80 nucleotides in length. Their secondary structure includes four short double-helical elements and three loops (D, anti-codon, and T loops). Lineage: Bacteria; Pseudomonadati; Pseudomonadota; Alphaproteobacteria. The record is from RNAcentral.